RNAcentral lists this ribosomal RNA (490 nucleotides) under uncultured bacterium. RNAcentral's name for it is "partial 16S ribosomal RNA". It matches the Rfam family "Bacterial small subunit ribosomal RNA", at positions 30 to 507 of the family's 1533-position model. The record is from RNAcentral.
UGAACGCUGGCGGUAGGCCUAACACAUGCAAGUCGAACGGCAGCACAGUAAGAGCUUGCUCUUACGGGUGGCGAGUGGCGGACGGGUGAGGAAUACAUCGGAAUCUACUUUUUCGUGGGGGGUAACGUAGGGAAACUUACGCUAAUACCGCAUACGACCUACGGGUGAAAGCAGGGGAUCUUCGGACCUUGCGCGAUUGAAUGAGCCGAUGUCGGAUUAGCUAGUUGGCGGGGUAAAGGCCCACCAAGGCGACGAUCCGUAGCUGGUCUGAGAGGAUGAUCAGCCACACUGGAACUGAGACACGGUCCAGACUCCUACGGGAGGCAGCAGUGGGGAAUAUUGGACAAUGGGCGCAAGCCUGAUCCAGCCAUACCGCGUGGGUGAAGAAGGCCUUCGGGUUGUAAAGCCCUUUUGUUGGGAAAGAAAAGCAGCAGGUUAAUACCCCGCUGUUCUGACGGUACCCAAAGAAUAAGCACCGGCUAACUUCGUG